This 495-nucleotide ribosomal RNA is filed under the name uncultured bacterium. RNAcentral describes it as "partial 16S ribosomal RNA". It matches the Rfam family "Bacterial small subunit ribosomal RNA", at positions 28 to 507 of the family's 1533-position model. The record is from RNAcentral.
GACGAACGCUGGCGGCGUGCCUAACACAUGCAAGUAGAACGCUGAGGGAGGAGAUUGCUUCUCUGGUUGAGUAGCGAACGGGUGCGUCACGCGUGGGUAACCUGCCCGGUAGUGGGGGAUAACUAUUGGAAACGCUAGCUAAUACCGCAUAAUAGUAGCUGUUGCAUGACCUUUGCUUAAAAGGUGCAAUUGCAUCACUAAUAGCUGGACCUGCGUUGUAUUGUUUAGUUGGUGGGGUAACGGCUCACCAAGGCGACGAUACAUACCCGCCCUGAGAGGGUGAGCGGCCAAGCUGGGACUGGGACACGGCCCAGAACCCUACGGGAGGCAGCAGUAGGGAAUCCUCAGCGAUGGACGGAAGUCGGACCAAGGAACGCCGCGUGAGUGAAGAAGGUUUUCAGGUCGUAAAACUCUGUUGGAAGAGAGGGACGAGUGUGAGAGUGGAAAGUGCACACUGUGACGGUAUCUUACCAAAAAGGCACGGCUAACUACGUG